RNAcentral lists this ribosomal RNA (255 nucleotides) under Escherichia coli. Its description in RNAcentral is "partial 16S ribosomal RNA". It matches the Rfam family "Bacterial small subunit ribosomal RNA", at positions 92 to 350 of the family's 1533-position model. Lineage: Bacteria; Pseudomonadati; Pseudomonadota; Gammaproteobacteria; Enterobacterales; Enterobacteriaceae. The record is from RNAcentral.
CGAGUGGCGGACGGGUGAGUAAUGUCUGGGAAACUGCCUGAUGCAGGGGGAUAACUACCGGAAAUGUUAGCAAAUACCGCAUAACGUCGCAAGACCAAAGAGGGGGACCUUCGGGCCUCUUGCCAUCAGAUGUGCCCAGAUGGGAUUAGCUAGUAGGUGGGGUAACGGCUCACCUAGGCGACGAUCCCUAGCUGGUCUGAGAGGAUGACCAGCCACACUGGAACUGAGACACGGUCCAGACUCCUACGGGAGGCA